CCAGACUCCUACGGGAGGCAGCAGUGGGGAAUAUUGCACAAUGGGGGAAACCCUGAUGCAGCGACGCCGCGUGAGUGAAGAAGUAUCUCGGUACGUAAAGCUCUAUCAGCAGGGAAGAUAAUGACGGUACCUGACCAAGAAGCCCCGGCUAACUACGUGCCAGCAGCCGCGGUAAUACGUAGGGGGCAAGCGUUAUCCGGAUUUACUGGGUGUAAAGGGAGCGUAGACGGCCAUGCAAGUCUGAUGUGAAAACCCGGGGCUCAACCCCGGGACUGCAUUGGAAACUGUGCGGCUGGAGUGUCGGAGAGGCAAGUGGAAUUCCUAGUGUAGCGGUGAAAUGCGUAGAUAUUAGGAGGAACACCAGUGGCGAAGGCGGCUUGCUGGACGACGACUGACGUUGAGGCUCGAAAGCGUGGGGAGCAAACAGGAUUAGAUACCCCCGUACA
RNAcentral lists this ribosomal RNA (446 nucleotides) under uncultured bacterium. RNAcentral's name for it is "bacterial SSU rRNA". It matches the Rfam family "Bacterial small subunit ribosomal RNA", at positions 331 to 794 of the family's 1533-position model. The record is from RNAcentral.